AUGGACAUAGCAUAUUAUGGAAAGAUUGAAAAUCAUGUUUAUUUCACUAUAGUUGGAUUUGGAGCCUUAUAUCUCUGCAGGAAAAAUCCAAACUUGAUGUAUGAUCUAUACACAGUUGUUGUGCAUAGCGAAUACACAACUAAUUCAAGGCAUUACUUUGACUAUGUGUGUUCUGAUGAAAAAGCUUGGCAUUUGAUGGAUGACUCUGACGUAAAAUAUCAAUGGAAGUUUCUUCCUAUAAUAUAG
Vicia faba (fava bean) is the source of this 246-nucleotide non-coding RNA. The record is from the annotation of a GenBank genome assembly. Lineage: Eukaryota; Viridiplantae; Streptophyta; Magnoliopsida; Fabales; Fabaceae.